CCUACGGGAGGCUGCAGUGGGGAAUAUUGGACAAUGGGCGAAAGCCUGAUCCAGCCAUGCCGCGUGUGUGAAGAAGGCCUUCGGGCUGUAAAGCACUUUCAGUGGGGAAGAAAGCCUUGGGGCUAAUACCCUCGAGGAAGGACAUCACCCACAGAAGAAGCACCGGCUAACUCCGUGCCAGCAGCCGCGGUAAUACGGAGGGUGCGAGCGUUAAUCGGAAUUACUGGGCGUAAAGCGCGCGUAGGCGGUCUGAUAAGCCGGUUGUGAAAGCCCCGGGCUCAACCUGGGAACGGCAUCCGGAACUGUCAGGCUAGAGUGCAGGAGAGGAAGGUAGAAUUCCCGGUGUAGCGGUGAAAUGCGUAGAGAUCGGGAGGAAUACCAGUGGCGAAGGCGGCCUUCUGGACUGACACUGACGCUGAGGUGCGAAAGCGUGGGUAGCAAACAGGAUUAGAUACCCCGGUAGUC
Molecule: ribosomal RNA, 465 nt
Filed under: Vreelandella stevensii
Lineage: Bacteria; Pseudomonadati; Pseudomonadota; Gammaproteobacteria; Oceanospirillales; Halomonadaceae
Description: partial 16S ribosomal RNA
Rfam family: Bacterial small subunit ribosomal RNA
Source: RNAcentral